AGACCCAUCUGGUGGCCCUGUGCUCUUGCUCAGUUCUCACUGGGGAGGCCCAGCAAGUCCAGUGGCCGCCCCUUCCCCUUUCUUCUUCCCCUUGGUCUGGGCAUCUUUUAGGGGCUCCUGCCAGCUGGACGCUGCUGGGAGCUUCCCUUAUGUUGUUUCACUUUUAACACUAUGACUGGGUUGAGGUUCAAUCUGCUAGAUGAAUUGCUGAGGUUCAGAGAGGGGAAGGCACUUGCCCUGGGCCACACAGCAGGGGUGACAGAGCUGAGUUUGAAGCAGAGCAUUCUGGGCACUGACUAGCCAGCAUAUGGCUGGAAAGGUAAGUCAAGGGGCAAGCUGCCUCUGGGGCUGCCGGUGCCAACCCUGUGUGCCCGCCACCUGGACUGGGAUUCUCGGCUGAGUCUCAUUCCCAGUUUGGUGCCAGACAUGGGAAGGUGUUUGAGUCCCAAAUGAGCCCCUUGAGCUGCUCGUGGCCACAGAGGCCUUAGGGUCCUGUGCCCAGGGGCUGUUAUGGAUCUCGCGUUGGGUGCAAGUGCCCUUCUGAGGCUGGGGGCAGCUGGGCCAGGAGCGGGCAGAGCAGCCGCACUGCCCUUGGCGGGGCAAGCUGGCUGGGCAGCAGAGGCCGCUCUUCUGGCUGCUCGAGGUCAGGGUCCCUUCUCAGGUGCUGGGCAGGCCCGCCCCUCUCCUGCUCAGCCCCACCUCAGUAGGGAAAGCCGGAUGGUUUGGGUCCCCCUCUUCAGUUCUGAGCACUUGAGGGACAGCAAACUGAACGGUGAACAGGAGAAGCCGUACCCUGAGGCCCUGCCUGGAGUCUGCAAACUCCACGUGGGGCUCGUGGUGACCUGGGAUCACAUGGCUCUUCUGAGUGGCCUCUAGCACCUGUGUGCCAUGCAGCAUCAGUAGGUGGCCCUCCAGCUGCAGGGUGACCCAGGGUGGGAUGUCCCAGGGGAAAGAACAAGUAAAACAAGAGCCGCUGCUUACUGUCCUGGAGCCCAGGCCGCGGGCUGGGGGCACGCCCGGCUGGCAGCCCUGGGAGGGGAGGACGGAGCGAGGGGUGACCAGGCCCCUCUGAGCCCCAAGGUGCUCUCCCUCCCAGCCCCGCUCAGCACACAGGUGUGGGGCGCCUCUCCCCACCCACCGCUGCCGCCUCCUCCUCCCCAGACACCGGAGCACCACCCCCGGGCCAUGCACCGGCAGGAGCAGAGGAACCAGGGCCAGCCAGGCGGCCCUUGCUCUUCCUGUAUCCCUGUCCCUCCCUGUCCCGGGACCGCAGUUCUGCACAUGCCAGACUUAGGAAGCGUCCAAGGAGGCCGGAGAACCAAGCCCCCGCACCAAGCCCCGCACCGGGUGAAGGCGCAGCUGGAAGUUGGCCCCCUCCUGGCUGCAUGGCUCUGGGGAAAGGCCCCGCUGCCCCAUCUGUGAAAUGGGAGGACAGCGGGCCUGACACCGUGGGCCUUACUGCAAAGGCCAGUCCCCGUAGUGUGGGCAACAGCUGGCCAAGUGUCUGGCACGCCAGGACACAGGUUGGCCUUGAACUCGCAAUCCUCUUGCCUCAGCCUCCAUAACACAGCUCCAUAACACAGCUGGGGUUACAGGCAGCUCAACGGCCCAGGGCCCUUUAUCAGGCUCCAGAAAGACAGGAACCCUCCAGCCCUCCCUCCCUAAAGCGGCCAGAGCCUCUGCCUGCCCCUGGGUGUGCCCGCUGGGAUGGUGGGGGGCAGAGGACCCUAGGCCACGGUGGCAGAACCCUGGACUGCCUUGGGCUCUCCUGCCCAGCAGGGCAAAGGGCAGCCAGCACACCCCCCCACACCCCGCCCAGGGCCCCGGAGCAGGGAAACUUGCCCACCUGCAGAGGACCCUCGACUCCUCCCUCCAGUGCUAAGUGGCGCGCCUGUUGGGACUCCUCACACUGCGGGGUCCAAAUCUGCCCAGUAGCCCAGGAGGCCCUUCUGCCUGGUGUCACCCACCCUGAUGUGAGCCCUGGAGCAGUCUCAACUCAAACUGAACUCAACUCCCAACGUGUCACUAACAUUCUUCUGGAACUCAGUGUGUCCAUCUGUCACCUGGGGAUGACGAGAAUGCCUGAUUCCUGUGCCGCAGUAAAGAUCCACUGAGACCAGUUCGCCCCCCAGUGAGCGCAGGUCAGGACAGACGCUGCCCAGGCCUGGUGGGGACAGAGGUAGGAGGAGGUGGAGACAGUCCUCGAGGUCUUGGAAGGAGGCCCAGGGGGUGAUGCAGCUUCGACAUGCACCCGUACCCUCUGGGGAGCUGGUUAAGAUGCAGACUCCCGGGCCCCCCUGCCCAGCCUGAGAUGGCUGGGGUCGGUGUUAGCUGGCCAGAGGGUUCCAGGGCAAGUGGUCCUGGAGUCACCCUUACCCCGGUCUAGGCUUCGCAGUCCUAGGAGAGCUGGCACACUCCCAGAGGAAAGAGCUUUAAAAGCUCCACACCAACGGGACCUUCCUCCUCCUGAGGAUAUGCAGGCCUCAGCCCUGGGGAGGCACCAAUGGGGCGGGAGCCUGUGUUCCCUACAGAGUCAUACCCAUCUCCAUGGCAGUGGCACCCCCUGUACAUGUGAGCAUUCUUUAUGACACCUGGCCAUAGAACACCAGAACGGCUAAACCACCUGUUCCCGGGCAAUGAAUCUGCCAAGAAAAGCACUAGUGGCUGCACCUUGCUUCAAAACUAAUGGCUGAUUUUUGGAGAGUAUCUGGACAAUUCCUUUAGAUCACAGGUUGGCCAACUUCCAUAAAGGGCCAGACAGUGAAUAUUUUCACUUCUGUAGGCAGACAGCAUCUGUUGCCAACUACUCAACUCUGCCACUCUGGGCGAAAGCACCCGUAAACAGUAAGGAAACAAAUGAGCAGGCUGUGUGCCAAUAAAACUUUAUUUCUAGC
Molecule: long non-coding RNA, 2894 nt
Organism: Marmota monax (woodchuck)
Lineage: Eukaryota; Metazoa; Chordata; Mammalia; Rodentia; Sciuridae
Exons: 2
Source: RefSeq, a predicted model, not a curated record